RNAcentral lists this ribosomal RNA (2946 nucleotides) under Gossypioides kirkii. RNAcentral describes it as "bacterial LSU rRNA". It matches the Rfam family "Bacterial large subunit ribosomal RNA". The record is from RNAcentral. Lineage: Eukaryota; Viridiplantae; Streptophyta; Magnoliopsida; Malvales; Malvaceae.
GGAAAGGCUUACGGUGGAUACCUAGGCACCCAGAGACGAGGAAGGGCAUAGUAAGCGACGAAAUGCUUCGAGGAGUUGAAAAUAAGCGUAGAUCCGGAGAUUCCCGAAUAGGUCAACCUUUCGAACUGCUGCUGAAUCCAAGGGCAGACAAGAGAUAACCUGGCGAACUGAAACAUCUUAGUAGCCGGAGGAAAAGAAAGCAAAAGCGAUUCUCGUAGUAGCGGCGAGCGAAAUGAAAGUAGCCUAAACCGUGAAAACGGGAUUGUGAGAAAGCAAUAAAAGCGUCGUGCUACUAGGCGAAGCGGUGAAGUGUCGAACCCUAGAUGGCGAUAGUCAGUAGCCGAAAGCAUCACUAGCUUACGCUCUGACCCAAGUAGCAUGGGGCACGUGGAAUCUCGUUUGAAUCAGCAAUGACCACAUUGCAAGGCUAAAUACUCUUGGGUGACCGAUAGCGAAGUAGUACCGUGAGGGAAGGGUGAAAAGAGCCCCCGUCGGGGAGUGAAAUAGAACAUGAAAUCGUAAGCUCCCAAGUAGUGGGAGGAGCCCAGGGCUUUGACCGCGUACCUGUUGAAGAAUGAGCCGGCGACUCACAGGCAGUGGCUUGGUUAAUGGAACCCACUAGAGCCGUAGCGAAAGCGAGUCUUCAUAGGGUAAUUGUCAUUGCUUAUAGACCUGAACCUGGGUGAUCUAUCCAUGAGCAGGAUGAAGCUUGGGUGAAACUAAGUGAAGGUUCGAACCGACUGAUGUUGAAGAAUCAGCGGAUGAGUUGUGAUUAGGGGUGAAAUGCCACUCGAACCCAGAGCUAACUAGUUCUCCCUGAAAUACGUUGAGGCGUAGUAAUUGAUUGGACAUUUAGGGGUAAAGCACUGUUUCGGUGCGGGCCGCGAGAACGGUACCAAAUCGAGGUAAACUCUGAAUACUAGAUAUGACCUCAAAAUAACAGGGGUCAAGGUCGGUCAAUGAGACGAUGGGGGAUAAGCUUCAUCGUCGAGAGGGAAACAGCCCGAAUCACCAGCUAAGGCCUCUAAAUGAUCGCUUAGUGAUAAAGGAGGUAGAGGUACAGAGACAACUAGGAGGUUUACCUAAAAGCAGCUACUAUUGAAAAAGUACGUAAUAGCUCACUAAUCGAGCGCUCUUGCGUCGAAGAUGAACGGGGCUAAGCGAUCAGUCGAAGCUAUGGGAUGUAAAAAUGCAUUGGUAAGGGAGCGUUCCACCUUAGGGGGAAGCACCCGCGUGAGCGGGAGUAGACGAAGUGGAAGCGAGAAUGUCGGCUUAAGUAACGUAAACAUUGGUGAGAAUCUAAUGCCCCGAAAACCCAAGGGUUCCUCCAUAAGGUUCGUUCACGAAGGGUGAGUCAAGGCCUAAGAUCAGGCCGAAAGGCGUAGUCGAUGGACAACUGGUGAAUAUUCCUGUAUUACCCCUUGUUGGUCCCAAGGGACGGAGGAGGCUAGGUUAGCCAAAAGAUGGUUAUCGAUUCAAGGAUGCAAGGUGUCCCUGCUUUUUCAGGGUAAGAAGGGGUAGAAAAAAUGCCCCGAGCCAAUGUUCGAGUAUCAGGCACUACGGCACUGAAGUAACCCAUGCUAUACUCCCAAGAAAAGCUCGAACGACCUUCAACAAAAGAGUACCUGUACCCGAAAUCGACACAGGUGGGUAGGUAGAGAAUACCUAGGGGCGGCUAGACAACUCUGUCUAAGAAACUCAGCAAAAUAGCCCCGUAACUUCGGGAGAAGAAAUGCCUCCUCAUAAAGAGGGUCGUAGUGACCAGGCCCGGAGGUACCAACAACACAGAUCUCAGCAAAGUCGUAAGACCAUGUAUAGGGGUUGACGCUUGCCUAGUGCCGGAAGGGCAAAAAAGUUGGUGACCUGAUGACAUGGGAGCCAGCGAUCGAAGCCCCGGUGAACGGCGAUCGUAACUAUAACGGUCCUAAGGUAGCGAAAUUCCUCAUCGGGUAAAUUUUGACCCUCACGAAAGGCGUAACGAUCUGGGAACUAUCUCGGAGAGAGGCUCGGUGAAAUAGACAUGUCUGUGAAGAUGCGGACUACCCGUACCUGGACAGAAAGACCCUAUGAAGCUUCACUGUUCCCUGAUAUUGGCUUUGGGCUUUUCCUGCGCAGCUUAAGUGGAAGACAAAGAAAGCCUCCUUUCGGGGAGGCCCGAGCCAUCAGUGAAAUACCACUCUGGAAGAGCUAGAAUUCUAACAUUGUGUCAGGACCUACGGGCCAAAGGACAGUCUUAGGUAGACAGUUUCUAUGGGGCAUAGGCCUCCCAAAAGGUAACGAAUAGUGCAAAGGUUUUCUCGGACCAGACGGAGAUUGACCAUCGAGUGCAAAAGCAGAAGGGAGCUUGACUACAAGGCCCACCCGUCGAGGAGGGACGAAAGUCGGCUUUAGUGAUCCGAUGGUGCCGAGUAGAAGGGUUGUCGCUCAAUGGAUAAAAGUUACUCUAGGGAUAACAGGCUGAUCUUCCCCAAGAGCUCACAUCGACGGGAAGGUUUGGCACCUCGAUGUCGGCUCUUCGCCAUCUGGGGCUGUAGUAUGUUCCAAGGGUUGGGCUAUUCGCCCAUUAAAACGGUACGUGAGCUGAGUUCAGAACGUCGUGAGAUAGUUUGGUCUAUAUCCGGUGUGGGCAUUAGAGCAUUGAGAGGACCUUUCCCUAGUACAAAAGGACCGGGAAGGACGCACCUCUGGUGUACUAGCUAUCGUGCCCACAGUAAAUGCUGGGUAGCCAAGUGCGGAGCAGAUAACUGCUGAAAGCAUCUAAGUAGUAAGUCCACCCCAAGAUGAGUGCUUUCCUAUUCCGACUUCCCUAGAGCCUCCGAUAGCACAGCCGAGACGACAAAGGGUUCUCUGUCCCUGCGAGGAUCGAGUGACAGAAGUUUUGAGAAUUCAAGAGGUCAUGACGAGACGAGUCGUUUAUCAUUACAAUAGGUCCCAAGUGGAAGUGCA